RNAcentral lists this ribosomal RNA (103 nucleotides) under Allamanda cathartica (golden trumpet). RNAcentral describes it as "partial 26S ribosomal RNA". Lineage: Eukaryota; Viridiplantae; Streptophyta; Magnoliopsida; Gentianales; Apocynaceae. The record is from RNAcentral.
GCACUCAACCACGUCGAGAACGCAGGUCGCGCGACGCGGCGGCUGGAGCUCCCACGACCCGCGAGCGAGAGGCCCCCGGCGCGGGGCGACAUCGCUGCAACGG